This 359-nucleotide long non-coding RNA is filed under the name Homo sapiens (human). RNAcentral describes it as "non-protein coding lnc-PIK3C3-18:1". Lineage: Eukaryota; Metazoa; Chordata; Mammalia; Primates; Hominidae. The record is from RNAcentral.
AAUCUGCCUCUAUCCAUGGCAGCCCUUCUUAUUUUAAUGUUCUCACUCUUACCCACAAACUAAAUUUACAUUUCUUGCUGUUAUAAAUUUUAUAUUUUUGUGUGUGGAGAAACAUUCCAUCAAGAAGACUGAAGCCCAGUAAACUCCCAAAGACAAGACUUUCAGAAGGUCUGAAGACAAGUCACAUCAAACCACUGACCUAAGAAAAAUGGAAUUAAUGUUGCAACUGCAUUCUCCUAACUUCUCACUGGACUUGAGAUGGCAGGUAUGGUCAAGAGAGACACUGGAAGAUGGAAGUUACUUCAGUGUUCCAGUUGCUGGUGUAGCCAGGGCUUCACAGGGGGAAAAGGCACUGCAUC